AUUGAACGCUGGCGGCAUGCUUUACACAUGCAAGUCGAGCGGAUGAAGGGGGCUUGCUCCUGGAUUCAGCGGCGGACGGGUGAGUAAUGCGCAGGAAUCUACCUCGUAGUGGGGGAUAACGUCUCGAAAGGGGCGCUAAUACCGCAUACGUUCUGAGGAAGAAAGCAGGGGACCUUCGGGCCUUGCGCUAUGAGAUGAGCUUGCGUCCGAUUAGCUAGUUGGUGGGGUAAAGGCCUACCAAGGCGACGAUCGGUAACUGGUCUGAGAGGAUGAUCAGUCACACUGGAACUGAGACACGGUCCAGACUCCUACGGGAGGCAGCAGUGGGGAAUAUUGGACAAUGGGGGCAACCCUGAUCCAGCCAUGCCGCGUGUGUGAAGAAGGCC
This 386-nucleotide ribosomal RNA is filed under the name uncultured bacterium. RNAcentral describes it as "bacterial SSU rRNA". It matches the Rfam family "Bacterial small subunit ribosomal RNA", at positions 30 to 416 of the family's 1533-position model. The record is from RNAcentral.